Molecule: ribosomal RNA, 633 nt
Filed under: Arthrobacter subterraneus
Lineage: Bacteria; Bacillati; Actinomycetota; Actinomycetes; Micrococcales; Micrococcaceae
Description: bacterial SSU rRNA
Rfam family: Bacterial small subunit ribosomal RNA
Source: RNAcentral
GUCGACGAUGAUCUCCAGCUUGCUGGGGGGAUUAGUGGCGAACGGGUGAGUAACACGUGAGUAACCUGCCCUUGACUCUGGGAUAAGCCUGGGAAACUGGGUCUAAUACUGGAUACGACCUUCCCACGCAUGUGGUGUUGGUGGAAAGCUUUUGUGGUUUUGGAUGGACUCGCGGCCUAUCAGCUUGUUGGUGGGGUAAUGGCCUACCAAGGCGACGACGGGUAGCCGGCCUGAGAGGGUGGACGGCCACACUGGGACUGAGACACGGCCCAGACUCCUACGGGAGGCAGCAGUGGGGAAUAUUGCACAAUGGGCGCAAGCCUGAUGCAGCGACGCCGCGUGAGGGAUGAAGGCCUUCGGGUUGUAAACCUCUUUCAGUAGGGAAGAAGCGAAAGUGACGGUACCUGCAGAAGAAGCGCCGGCUAACUACGUGCCAGCAGCCGCGGUAAUACGUAGGGCGCAAGCGUUAUCCGGAAUUAUUGGGCGUAAAGAGCUCGUAGGCGGUUUGUCGCGUCUGCCGUGAAAGUCCGGGGCUUAACUCCGGAUCUGCGGUGGGUACGGGCAGACUUGAGUGAUGUAGGGGAGACUGGAAUUCCUGGUGUAGCGGUGAAAUGCGCAGAUAUCAGGAGGAAC